This 756-nucleotide ribosomal RNA is filed under the name uncultured bacterium. Its description in RNAcentral is "bacterial SSU rRNA". It matches the Rfam family "Bacterial small subunit ribosomal RNA", at positions 8 to 796 of the family's 1533-position model. The record is from RNAcentral.
AGAGUUUGAUCAUGGCUCAGAAUCAACGCUGGCGGCGUGCCUAACACAUGCAAGUCGCACGAGAAAGGGACUUCGGUCCUGAGUACAGUGGCGCACGGGUGAGUAACACGUGAAUAAUCUACCUCCGAGUGGGGAAUAACUGAGAGAAAUCUUAGCUAAUACCGCAUAACACUUACGAGUCAAAGCAGCAAUGCGCUUGGAGAGGAGUUCGCGGCAGAUUAGUUAGUUGGCGGGGUAAUGGCCCACCAAGACGAUGAUCUGUAUCCGGCCUGAGAGGGCGCACGGACACACUGGAACUGAAACACGGUCCAGACUCCUACGGGAGGCAGCAGUGGGGAAUUUUGCGCAAUGGGGGAAACCCUGACGCAGCAACGCCGCGUGGAGGAUGAAAUCCCUUGGGAUGUAAACUCCUUUCGAUCGGGAAGAUAAUGACGGUACCGAGAGAAGAAGCCCCGGCUAACUUCGUGCCAGCAGCCGCGGUAAUACGAGGGGGGCAAGCGUUGUUCGGAAUUAUUGGGCGUAAAGGGUGCGUAGGCGGUUUGAUAAGUCACAUGUGAAAUCUUCGGGCUCAACCCGAAGUCUGCAUGCGAAACUGUCGGGCUUGAGUAUGGGAGAGGUGAGUGGAAUUUCCGGUGUAGCGGUGAAAUGCGUAGAUAUCGGAAGGAACACCUGUGGCGAAAGCGGCUCACUGGACCAUAACUGACGCUGAUGCACGAAAGCUAGGGGAGCAAACAGGAUUAGAUACCCUAGUAGUCC